RNAcentral lists this ribosomal RNA (253 nucleotides) under uncultured bacterium. RNAcentral describes it as "partial 16S ribosomal RNA". It matches the Rfam family "Bacterial small subunit ribosomal RNA", at positions 524 to 776 of the family's 1533-position model. The record is from RNAcentral.
UACGGGGGGGGCAAGCGUUGUUCGGAAUUACUGGGCGUAAAGGGCUCGUAGGUGGCCAACUAAGUCGGACGUGAAAUCCCUCAGCUUAACUGGGGAACUGCGUCCGAUACUGGAUGGCUUGAGUUUGGGAGAGGGAUGCGGAAUUCCAGGUGUAGCGGUGAAAUGCGUAGAUAUCUGGAGGAACACCGGUGGCGAAGGCGGCAUCCUGGACCAACACUGACACUGAGGUGCGAAAGCCAGGGGAGCAAACGGG